UCCCCAGCAUCACCUGGGAUACAAAGUGUUC
This 31-nucleotide non-coding RNA is filed under the name Homo sapiens (human). Lineage: Eukaryota; Metazoa; Chordata; Mammalia; Primates; Hominidae. The record is from RNAcentral.